ACGAACGCUGGCGGCAUGCCUAACCCAUGCAAGUCGAACGAGACCUUCGGGUCUAGUGGCGCACGGGUGCGUAACGCGUGGGAACCUGCCCUUAGGUUCGGAAUAACUCCCCGAAAGGGGUGCUAAUACCGGAUAAUGUCUUCGGACCAAAGAUUUAUCGCCUUUGGAUGGGCCCGCGUUGGAUUAGCUAGUUGGUAGGGUAAAAGCCUACCAAGGCGACGAUCCAUAGCUGGUCUGAGAGGAUGAUCAGCCACACUGGGACUGAGACACGGCCCAGACUCCUACGAGAGGCAGCAGUGGGGAAUAUUGGACAAUGGGCGAAAGCCUGAUCCAGCAAUGCCGCGUGAGUGAUGAAGGCCUUAGGGUUGUAAAGCUCUUUUACCCGGGAUGAUAAUGACAGUACCGGGAGAAUAAGCUCCGGCUAACUCCGU
Molecule: ribosomal RNA, 431 nt
Filed under: uncultured bacterium
Lineage: Bacteria
Description: partial 16S ribosomal RNA
Rfam family: Bacterial small subunit ribosomal RNA
Source: RNAcentral